CUAAUUGUAAACUUCACCUUAGAGGCUGUCACAUAGUAACUGUCUAGAAAAUAAACGCAGAAGCUGCGCUGCUGAGCUUUUUUUUCAGCUUAAAUGGAUACAGAAUAGAAGAAAAAACAGCACCAUUAUUCAAUCCGCACAGUAAAUUGGUAUAUUGGACAGCCAACAUUGAAACAGGAAAGGAAAUAAUAAGUAACAAAGUAGAACAUCUAUUUAAAAAUCCUACUCAUCGUGCACUAAUUUUCAGUGUAAAAAGAUUAAAGACUAGUCAUUAUACUUCACUU
This 284-nucleotide long non-coding RNA is filed under the name Trifolium pratense (red clover). RNAcentral's name for it is "long non-coding RNA (TPRA_LNC011490)". The record is from RNAcentral. Lineage: Eukaryota; Viridiplantae; Streptophyta; Magnoliopsida; Fabales; Fabaceae.